GGGGCAGGGGGUCUACCUGCAGUCGACGAGAAGGGAUUGCUUGCAAUCCUGAGUAGAGUGGCGCACGGGUGAGUAACACGUAGAUAAUCUACCUUCAAGCCUGGAAUAACUGUUCGAAAGAACAGCUAAUACCGGAUAAAGUUGAUUUACACAGGUAAGUUAAUGAAAGAUUGCCUAUCCUUGGAAGCAAUUGUUUGGAGAUGAGUCUGCGGACCAUUAGUUUGUUGGUGGGGUAACGGCCUACCAAGACCGCGAUGGUUAGCUUGUCUGAGAGGAUGAUCAGCCACACUGGAACUGGAACACGGUCCAGACUCCUACGGGAGGCAGCAGUGAGGAAUUUUGCGCAAUGGGGGUAACCCUGACGCAGCAACGCCGCGUGAGUGAAGAAGGCCUUUGGGUCGUAAAGCUCUGUCGACAGGGAAGAAAUUAGAGUUUUCUAACAGGAUAUUCUAUUGACGGUACCCGUAGAGGAAGCACCGGCUAACUCCGUGCCAGCAGCCGCGGUAACACGGGGGGUGCAAGCGUUAUUCGGAAUUAUUGGGCGUAAAGGGCGCGCAGGCGGUCUUGUCGGUCAGAUGUGAAAGCCCGGGGCUCAACCCUGGAAGUGCAUUUGAAACAGCAAGACUUGAGUACGGGAGAGGAGAGCGGAAUUCCUGGUGUAGAGGUGAAAUUCGUAGAUAUCAGGAGGAACACCGAUGGCGAAGGCAGCUCUCUGGACCGAUACUGACGCUGAGGCGCGAAGGCGUGGGUAGCGAACAGGAUUAGAUACCCUGGUAGUCCACGCAGUAAACGUUGUUCACUCGGUGUGCCGGAUAUUAAAAUCUGGUGUGCCUAAGCUAACGCAUUAAGUGAAC
Molecule: ribosomal RNA, 854 nt
Filed under: uncultured marine bacterium
Lineage: Bacteria
Description: bacterial SSU rRNA
Rfam family: Bacterial small subunit ribosomal RNA
Source: RNAcentral